GGCUCGUUGGUCUAGUGGUAUGAUUUUCGCUUCGGGUGUGAGCAGUCCUGGGUUCAACUCCUGGACAAGCCU
Non-coding RNA from Caranx melampygus (bluefin trevally), 72 nucleotides. Lineage: Eukaryota; Metazoa; Chordata; Actinopteri; Carangiformes; Carangidae. The record is from the annotation of a GenBank genome assembly.